AAACGUCUUGCUAAGAGGAAAUGCGGCUGAUGAAAUGCUGGCGAUACCGACGAACACAGCGACGGGAGCCGCUGCAGCAGCCGCUUGUCCUGGGUUUGGUGCACUGUAAACAAACUGCACAGGACAAAGAGAACAGUGUGCAAAUGUAAAGGAAGAUUAAGGAAGAGUUUGUGUAAUAUACAAAGUUUGAUUCUUUGGAUUGAUUUGAUUUUGGUUUUACUUACUCUCCUGAUGCAUUUGUAGACAAGGAAGGAGACAAGUGCUCCCAUUACAGGAGAGAUAACCCAAGAGGAAGCUACUUUAGCUAGAGAACUCCAAAAUACGGCACCAGCUCCUCCGUAGACAAGCCCAAACCCAACCAUUGAUCCUACGAUACAGUGAGUUGUUGAUACUGGCCAUCCAUAGUAAGAAGCCACCUGUGAAAUUCAUAAUUACACAAUCUUUUUCAGACACUGCAGUGCAGUUCAACUAAAGUUCUCUACUUGUAUCAUUUGCCAUUGCCAUCCUAAAAAGGUAUUAACUUUACUAAAUCUUCUCUUGAAAAUAGUGAGGAAGAGGCAAAAGAUAAGAUGGAACCUGUAACCAAGUUCCAGCUGCAGCCAAGGAAGAGAGGAGACCAGCAAAGAGCAACAUAUCUUUCCCUUGGAACACAUUAGCCAUGAGAAUCCCUUUCUGCAUCGUGC
RNAcentral lists this long non-coding RNA (683 nucleotides) under Eutrema salsugineum. RNAcentral's name for it is "long non-coding RNA (ESAL_LNC000469)". Lineage: Eukaryota; Viridiplantae; Streptophyta; Magnoliopsida; Brassicales; Brassicaceae. The record is from RNAcentral.